CACAGUUACUAACAUGUAGCUAGGUAGCUAAUGCUAACUGUUACUGUCUCGUCAUUACUGGAGCUCUUUUGGUAAAUAAGCACUAUUGUGAAUAGUGUAAUGUAGUUAUCUGUCAUGCCUCCUUAGAUAUACUUUUACAGUCUGAAAAUGUUUGUUGUAUGUAGACUGCUACAGGUGUUCAAUGUCAGUACUAGUCAGAUAUUUUAAUAGAUGCUGACAAAGUAAAUCAUUUUUCUCCAUGUUUUGAGCAGAGAUGCUCAUCAUGACAUCUUCCUUUAUGUAGUAAAUUUAUUUUGUGUAUUACAGUAAAAGCUGUAAAUCAGCAUAAACAUGUCUGACAGCAACAGUAAUCUUUAGUCAAAGACUAAACUGGGCAGUUUUCUACACUGCACUGUUGUCAAGCUCCACAUUAUAUGCAAUAAGUGACAUGUUAUAAAUUACCUCGGUUAUAUCUGUUAUAUAUUUUGGAUAGGUGCUCCUGUGGAAACUGUGCAACCAUGCCCACAGAAGCUGAGAAUAUCUGCUGCUAGGAGAUACCACAGGUUACCAGACGGCUAUGGGAGAUCGAGGAAGAUUUACCAUGUACGGUCGGCCGUCCUGGGUUGGAGCCGCUCUGCCUCAUUGUGUACUCCCUCCAGAAUGCCUGCAACAUGUACCGCACUGACUACGGUCCUUUACAGUUGAGAGGAAUACACCAGUAUGUUUUGCUUCUUUGUAAAAACAUAGUUUCAAUCUAAAUAAAAGAUGUUAGGCA
Seriola aureovittata is the source of this 754-nucleotide long non-coding RNA. RefSeq lists it as uncharacterized. The record is from RefSeq and is a predicted model, not a curated record. The transcript is spliced from 2 exons. NCBI's taxonomy places the organism in Eukaryota, Metazoa, Chordata, Actinopteri, Carangiformes, Carangidae.